RNAcentral lists this ribosomal RNA (433 nucleotides) under uncultured bacterium. RNAcentral describes it as "partial 16S ribosomal RNA". It matches the Rfam family "Bacterial small subunit ribosomal RNA", at positions 29 to 507 of the family's 1533-position model. The record is from RNAcentral.
AACGAACGCUGGCGGCAUGCCUAACACAUGCAAGUCGAACGAGACCUUCGGGUCUAGUGGCGCACGGGUGCGUAACGCCUGGGAACCUGCCCUUAGGUUCGGAAUACCUCCCCGAAAGGGGUGCUAAUACCGGAUAAUGUCUUCGGACCAAAGAUUUAUCGCCUUUGGAUGGGCCCGCGUUGGAUUAGCUAGUUGGUAGGGUAAAAGCCUACCAAGGCGACGAUCCAUAGCUGGUCUGAGAGGAUGAUCAGCCACACUGGGACUGAGACACGGCCCAGACUCCUACGGGAGGCAGCAGUGGGGAAUAUUGGACAAUGGGCGAAAGCCUGAUCCAGCAAUGCCGCGUGAGUGAUGAAGGCCUUAGGGUUGUAAAGCUCUUUUACCCGGGAUGAUAAUGACAGUACCGGGAGAAUAAGCACCGGCUAACUCCGUG